GCCCGUGUAGCUCAGUGGAACGAGCGUCCCGUUCACACCGGGAAGGCCCCUGGUUCGAGUCCAGGUGCGGGCA
This 73-nucleotide transfer RNA is filed under the name Verrucosispora sp. WMMC514. RNAcentral describes it as "tRNA-Val". It matches the Rfam family "tRNA". Rfam says of the family: Transfer RNA (tRNA) molecules are approximately 80 nucleotides in length. Lineage: Bacteria; Bacillati; Actinomycetota; Actinomycetes; Micromonosporales; Micromonosporaceae. The record is from RNAcentral.